UCCUACGGGAGGCAGCAGUGGGGAAUAUUGCACAAUGGGCGGAAGCCUGAUGCAGCAACGCCGCGUGCGGGAUGACGGCCUUCGGGUUGUAAACCGCUUUCGCCUGUGACGAAGCGUGAGUGACGGUAAUGGGUAAAGAAGCACCGGCUAACUACGUGCCAGCAGCCGCGGUGAUACGUAGGGUGCGAGCGUUGUCCGGAUUUAUUGGGCGUAAAGGGCUCGUANGUGGUUGAUCGCGUCGGAAGUGUAAUCUUGGGGCUUAACCUGAGCGUGCUUUCGAUAC
Molecule: ribosomal RNA, 283 nt
Filed under: uncultured bacterium
Lineage: Bacteria
Description: partial 16S ribosomal RNA
Rfam family: Bacterial small subunit ribosomal RNA
Source: RNAcentral